This is a non-coding RNA of Vicia faba (fava bean), 312 nucleotides long. Lineage: Eukaryota; Viridiplantae; Streptophyta; Magnoliopsida; Fabales; Fabaceae. The record is from the annotation of a GenBank genome assembly.
UCAACACGUCACUGAUCCAAUAUCAUGGUAUGCUACAAGUGCUAACGAUGUAAACAAUGUCUCAAAUUGCUCACCACAUAUUCUGAUAUACAACAACAAGAACCGUAUCAUCAGCCACUUCCUCACUCGAUCAUCAACUCUUGUUUGCAAUAAAUCAAUACACCUCUGAAAUCUUGUUGCCAAGUAUGAAAAUUUGUAUCUUUCAAUCUCAGACUGUGGUUUAUGUUUCAUGGUGAAACUCAUGAAAAACACCGGAAAACAAAGACUCACGUGAGCAACUCCAAUAUAAUCUUUUAUCUCAUUCCUAUACAU